GUAGAUUCAAAUUUUUAAAUAACAAAUCAGAAAAUGUGGACAAUCAGAAAAUUUACUGGGGUAAAUGAUUAAAGAUGCCUGAAAAGUUCGCUCUGUGGAGGUGCCACUGUAACUCUUUUGUGCGUGCGAUUACGUGAAGAGAUCAGCACGAAGAGGACGUGGAGUGGGCAGAAGAGGCCACGAUGAUUGCUUAUUUGCCCAGAGGCAGCAGUCGGCCGGUGAUGUUGAUAAUUCGCUGCAGAGUGGAGUGGAAACUUUGGUUGUUGUUGCGGAAAACUAUUGAGAUUGCUAUUUAUAGCGCAUCGGAUCGGAUCGGUGGCAUUGCAUCUGGAUGGAUGGCUGGCUUGCGGUGGGUUGCCAAGCCGGUAAGACAGUGAUAGUUAUCGGGGCUGGGAUCGGUGGCUCAGGGGCUUCAGUGGUGCGGUGGUUGCAGUGAUGCUCCAUUCGGGUAAACAGCUGGCAAUGGAGCGUGUCUGUAACGGCCAGUGGCAGCGAGAUAAGCUCGAAACUAUGGAAAUCAGGAGGAGGAGACCAUCUUCAUUUCCACCUUAUCACGUCGAGAAUUUCACAUAUACAUAUAUAUGCAGCACAUUCAGCAUUUGAACCACAACCACUUACACAUAUUUAUCAACUGCGCAGCACCGAAAUUAUUCAUCACUCGAGUUUAUAUAGUAUUUGAUUUGCUGCUAGACUAGAGUGUGUAAAAUACAUCAUUUAUUGGUCAUGGCUCACCGCAGACAGCUGCAAAUGUUUUGCUACCUUAGCACCACAUUCUGAAGGCUGGUUUGCUGAACUCAUCUGCUGCUGGGAAUCCUGGACAAGGACUACUUCGUGCAGAUCCACGCCAGCCAACCAAACUAAGGUGUAUGUAAGGUAGUCAACUGGCUGUGACGUCAGCAGGUGGUUUUUGUCCGGAAUUGUUUAAGAAAUGGCGUUUGUUUUUACGGCUGCAAAUCCAACGACUUUGUUUUUGUUGACUGCGCUUCGUUCUGUGUUUGGCCUUCUGAGCGUCUGGCUUUGCCUUUGUUGUUGUUAUGUUGUUGUUAGUCAGCACAGCUGAUGGCAAAACGCGUUCGCUGCUCGGUCCUACUAUAAAUCGAUUUCAAAUUACUUAAAAAUAAAUGUUAUAUACAAAUAAACUUU
Non-coding RNA from Drosophila melanogaster (fruit fly), 1143 nucleotides. Lineage: Eukaryota; Metazoa; Arthropoda; Insecta; Diptera; Drosophilidae. The record is from Ensembl.